Molecule: microRNA, 22 nt
Filed under: Oreochromis niloticus (Nile tilapia)
Lineage: Eukaryota; Metazoa; Chordata; Actinopteri; Cichliformes; Cichlidae
Also listed under: 4 other names
Description: oni-miR-10553
Source: miRBase by way of RNAcentral
GUGCCAUAUCUGACUGUACGCA